Molecule: long non-coding RNA, 330 nt
Organism: Calidris pugnax (ruff)
Lineage: Eukaryota; Metazoa; Chordata; Aves; Charadriiformes; Scolopacidae
Exons: 4
Source: RefSeq, a predicted model, not a curated record
CCUGUCGCUGCCCCUGGUGCUGGCCGUGGCGUGCGCGGCGCGCAGCGCCGACGGGCCCAGCAACAUGUCCUACGUGAAGGAGACGGUGGACAGGCUGCUGCAGGGCUACGACAUCCGCCUCCGGCCCGACUUCGGAGGUCCGCCGGUGGAUGUGGGCAUGCGGAUAGAGAUCGCCAGCAUCGACGUGGUCUCGGAAGUCAACAUGCCUGCAGCUUCAACUCGUGAGUCCGGGACCACUGUCACUGAGUUCAAAGGCCACCAACUUAAGUAGCCCUUACUUGUCAAGCUUCUCCUUUAUCACACAGUGUUGCUCUGCAACAGACUCUCUUC